UACAGAGGUCUCAAGCGUUGUUCGGAUUCAUUGGGCGUAAAGGGUGUGUAGGUGGCGCCGUAAGUCGGGUGUGAAAUUUCGGAGCUUAACUCCGAAACUGCAUUCGAUACUGCGGUGCUUGAGGACUGGAGAGGAGACUGGAAUUCAUGGUGUAGCAGUGAAAUGCGUAGAGAUCAUGAGGAAGACCAGUGGCGAAGGCGGGUCUCUGGACAGUUCCUGACACUGAGGAGCGAAAGCAUGGGGAGCAAACAGG
This 253-nucleotide ribosomal RNA is filed under the name uncultured bacterium. RNAcentral describes it as "partial 16S ribosomal RNA". It matches the Rfam family "Bacterial small subunit ribosomal RNA", at positions 524 to 776 of the family's 1533-position model. The record is from RNAcentral.